Molecule: ribosomal RNA, 254 nt
Filed under: uncultured bacterium
Lineage: Bacteria
Description: partial 16S ribosomal RNA
Rfam family: Bacterial small subunit ribosomal RNA
Source: RNAcentral
UACGUAGGGUGCGAGCGUUGUCCGGAAUUAUUGGGCGUAAAGAGCUCGUAGGCGGUCUGUCGCGUCGGUCGUGAAAACUUGGGGCUUAACCCUGAGCUUGCGGUCGAUACGGGCAUGACUGGAGUUCGGUAGGGGAGACUGGAAUUCCUGGUGUAGCGGUGAAAUGCGCAGAUAUCAGGAGGAACACCGGUGGCGAAGGCGGGUCUCUGGGCCGAUACUGACGCUGAGGAGCGAAAGUGUGGGGAGCGAACAGG